UGGAAAAAAGAGACAGAGAGCAAUAAACCCCAAAAGAAACAACUGAUGCAUAGUACCGUUGCUCACCACCCGAAGCCCAGCCCUUCCCCCAGGAGCGAUCAGCCCCUCCCAGCCAACUCCCCCCAGUUUAUAUACUGGGCAUGAUGCUCUAUUGUAUGGGAUAUCCUUUUGGCCAGCAGGUCAGCUGUCCUGGACAUGCUCCCUCCCAGCUUCCUGUUCACCUGCUAACUGAUGGAGCAUGGGAAAUUGAAAAGUCCUUGGCUCAGGGUAAGCCCUGCUGAGCAACAGUUAAACCAUCAGUGUCUUACCAACAUGAGUCUCACACUGAAUCCAAAACACAGCACUGCACCAGCUAUGAAGAAGAAAAUUAACUCUAUCCUAGCCAAAACCAGGCCGGAUCUUUUUAUUUAUUUCUUCCAGAAAGGAAAAAAUAUUACAAGAAAUCUGUUAAAGGAAAUUUAUUAAUUUAAGAGAUGGAAUUUCUGUCUCAACAGAUGAAUGCAGUUUUUCUCACAAGCUCAGUCAUAUGCCCUUACUUUAUUCAGAAUUAGAAUAGCAAUGUUCUGGAGAGUAGAAAAAAAAUGAACAGAGUUGAUUCCAACAGAGAAAGAGCUGAGACAUAUGUGCAGAAGACAGAACAAGUUUAAACUAUUUGGAGAUGUUUGAGACACAUCAUUUUCUCAAAUGAGAGUUGUGGUCACUUGGCACACUGAGAUAUUCUCUGUCAUUUGAGUGCUGCAUUUUUCCAUGGAAGGGAAAUUUAUGGGAUUUCUCAUUUAAGAAGUGUCCUAGGACCUGUCUUGCUCAGCCCUAAAGCCAGUCUUUCGUGCAUUUGGGAAGGACCAUUAUUCUGUUUUCAUGGUGGGUUUAUGUUGCUGUCUCACCAAUCUCUGUGGAGUCAGCUGAAUUCCAAUGGUUAUAAAAUAUCCUUCAGGUGGCUGUAAGACUACUGGUAACACAAUCCUAUAAUAUCUCAGACUUCAACUCUGUAAG
Molecule: long non-coding RNA, 993 nt
Organism: Manacus vitellinus (golden-collared manakin)
Lineage: Eukaryota; Metazoa; Chordata; Aves; Passeriformes; Pipridae
Exons: 4
Source: RefSeq, a predicted model, not a curated record